Molecule: long non-coding RNA, 15645 nt
Filed under: Mytilus galloprovincialis (Mediterranean mussel)
Lineage: Eukaryota; Metazoa; Mollusca; Bivalvia; Mytilida; Mytilidae
Source: RNAcentral
ACGCAAUAUCAUUGUCAGCCAUUCUGAUACACGACAGUAUAAGGUAAUAUAUUGUAACACCUUGUAAACAAAACUAGCGUUUUACUUCAUUGUGGUUUUCUUUAUUAAACCUAAAUAUCGGAACAUUUUUAAAUAGAAAACAAUUUAAUUCUUAAAUAACUUCAUAUGAAUACCGGAAACAUAUCAUAUUUAAUAAUUGAAGAAAUUGAUCCCUAUUGUGUAGAGUUAAAAAACAGAAUUGCAGUUUCCGUUUUGUUAGCAAAAGUUAUAUAUAAUUCUAACAUGACGUCCUUCAAACGCUUUGAGUACACACCCGUGGUAAAAUAUGAAUAUAUUGAUAGGGCUGUUCCUAUUGUACUCCCACGUCAUAUGUAUUUUUAUUGAAUGACCUACCCAACGUCAUAGAACAACGACGUCAGAACAUAAGCAUUUUAAUACGGGAAAAUACACGCUUGUGAAACCGAAAAUCAUCACAACUAGAAAACGUAAACAAACGAUGCUAAAAUGUGAUAUAAGCCAACUUUUAAAAAAUAUAUAAGACAUAUAAGUAAAUUAUCAUUAAAUUCACCCAAAAUUAUCUAAAAACAUUAUUGUAAAUAGUUUAGCAUGUCACUAAUUCAGUUUGUUCCGUUCUUUUACGCCAAUUAAAUGGUGCGUUUAUUUAUGGGAACGGCAAAUGUCAGCAUCUACCUAGAGCGCUUUGAUCCAAAAGAAUUGCCGUAUUUGUCCUAUCAGAAUCGAAAUAAUUCAUGGGGGCUUGAAUAUAUCUAGAUUUUACCACGGGUUGUCCCUUUAUGCCGAUAUUUUACCCCUCGCUAUCGCUCAGGGUAAAAUAUUUGUCAUAAAGGGCCAACCCGUGGUAAAAUCACGAUAUAUUCAAGCCCCCAUGAAUUAUUUCUUAAACAUCUAUAAGCUGAGAAUAAUCGAUCAUAGUUCAUAUUGGCGGGCGAAUAAUACUAAGGAAGACAAUCACCUCCGUAAAAUCUCAAACAUAUGAGAUAAAUCAUGAGGACAAUGUAAACCCCAUAUGCCCAAAAGACACAAAUACGGACAAACAAACACAAAUUCAGCAACAAAUGUUAAAAAGACUCCUCAAUUUGAAUUACAAAUAACCGACCUUCAUAUGCGGAAAGCUUUUAGUGAAUAAUUGAAAACAUUUUGUUACAUAAUUUCUAAACAUUAUUGGAAUUACGUUUUUGUUUUAAUUUUUUUAGUUUACAACUCUAUGACCAAUACUUAUUGAGGAGAUCGAAUAUGAAAGUGAUUAACAAUAUGUAAGCAUAUUAAUUAAAUUGAUAAUGAUUCAAGCGAGAGAGAGAGAGAGAGAGAGAGAGAGAGAGAGAGAGAGAGAGAGAGAGAGAGAGAGAGAAAAUAAUAUUGAGUUUGUUAUAAGUUUAAAAAACUAUGCUAUUUACAAGUACCCAUCCACGUCCACUUAUAUUUUUGUCCAUCUGAUGAGUUCAGCCUUUUUCAAUUUAUUUUUAUAGUUCGUUCUUAUGUUGUACUGUUAUACCACUGUCCCAGGUAAGGGGAGGGUUGGGAUUCCGCUAACCCCGUUUACCCCGCCCAUUAUGUAUGUAUGUGCCUGUCCCAAGUCAGGAGCCUGUAAUUCAGUGGUUGUCGUUUGUUUAUGUGUUACAUAUUUGUUUUUGUCCUUUUUUUAUAUAAAUAAGGCCGUUAGUUUUCUGGUUUGAAUUGUUUUACAUUGUCGUUUCGGGGCCUUUUAUCGCUGUCUAUGCGGUAUUGGCUGAUCUAUAGAAUAGUUGUUCAUUUCGGUGUCAUUGUGGGCUCUUUUGCAAUUAUACCACAUCUUCUUUUUUAAAUUUAUUAAUAUUUUUCAUAAAGUUUGAGUGAAACAGAAUGUUCACUAUCUAUCUAUCGAUAUAUCUUUAUGAUAUUAUAUAAUAGCAAUAUUGUAUUUGCUUAUUUAUAAAAAACCCAAACAAAUUAAGGUGACUCGAUUGUUACUCAAACUGUCUUUACUAUGUAACAUGUGAACGCUUAAUCAUGUGAAAUAUCAAUUAUUCAGUCAUUGCCUGUACGAGUGGAAAUCUUUACCACUCACUCUGUGAAAUGAAGAUGGUUUUGUGAAAGCUCAUUCUUAUCUUAGGUGCAUGCGUUAGAGCUAUUUUUCUAAUGAUUGUAGUUAAAAACUUUGAUUUGCUUGUUUGCGUCGUUCGUUUAAAUUGCUCAAUCUUAAUUGCAAUGCUUAAGCAAGUAUGCAUACAACCAUAGUAAGACGACAACCCUAUCGUUAAACAACAAACAUAAAGAAAAUAGAUUUUUGUAAUGACGUUUUAUUAGCAUGUAAUGUAGAUUUAGACCGAAACAAUAAACAUUCCUUUUAGUGACGUGUAUAGGCUUAAUUGUUUAAAAUAUCUCAUUUUAGUGAAGGUGAUUCAUAAGAAAGAAGAGAUUUUAUCCUAAAUAUUGAAAUGAGCAUAUUAUUAGAAAAAAUAAUAUUGGCUAUAUUAGCGAUAAAUGUUAUAGGGAACUUAUUGGUAAAUGGCCACAGACUUUCACUCAGAAAGUAUGAAUUUAUUAUAGAUUUUUCUGACUUUAUAUUUUGUAAAAAGAGUCGCCUGAAUUAAGACUUUAUAUGAUGAACAUUAAGUAUCUUCUUUUGCGAAAAUGCAUCGUAUAUACAAAAGAAAUGAAUUGCCCCAUCACUGUAAAUUUGUUGGUUUCUCAACGCGACAGCUAAACGAUUUCGUGAUCUUUGCUCUUCGAAUUCCUGUAUAGUCUUAUCUGUAACUGUUACCGAUUGUGUUCUAUUCCCGAAUGUGAUAUGUUUUUGCUACUGUUAGUAAAGCCCCCCCCCCCCCCGAGGAUAUCACUAGACCAGUAGUCAGCACUUCUGUUUUACAUGAAUUGUCAUCGAUAACUAUUGAUUAGCUGUUUACAAAACUUUUCCGAAAUAUCAAUACUUUCUACCCAAGGAAUAAAUUAAAUUAGCUGUAUUUGGCUAAACGUUAAGUUGUUUCGGAUCCCUACUUAUUUAAUUUCGUGCUUUAUGAUGCCAUUUUUCCAAAUUCAAUGGUGAGUCUUUUGUAUACCAAACAUGCGUCUGGUGUACAAAACUGCAAUCUUUGUAUCUAUAACGAGUUUAUCUAAAUAUAAAAAUAAUUAAGAUUUCCGAUGCAUAAAUUAUCUUAUACAAAAAAGCUCCCCACUUAAGUUUAGUCUAUCAAUAAAACAAAUAGCAUUUUCACAAAUUAACUGUUAACGAAUAACAUGUUAGACAGAUAGUUAUGGUUAUGUUCUGAUUGUAAGACAAGCUCGUCCUCUUUUUCUUAAAUAUCACUAUCACAUUAGACUCAUACCGGAUUUUACCGAAAUAAAAGUAAAAUAGGUGUCAAGUGUGAAAUAGAGUCUGCUUUCACCACAAAUCAUUUGGCAAUGUUUUUCAGACUUUAGCUUUCUCUGUUUCGUUGUUAUGUAUUUUUUAUCUUAUUGUUUAUCUUUUGGUGUAUUUUUUCGUUUCUUUUCGAUUUAGGAGUCUCAAUACUAAGUAUUUCUGAGUUAUCUGCCGCCUCUCUUUGACUUUAAUUAUAUUGUCUAUUUUCAUCACUAUUAUGUCGUCUGUAUUCAUCUCAAAGAAAAAUAAGAAGAAAGAAGCAUUGUACAUGUAAUUUUUAGCAUUGCUGGAAAGCAUUUAUAACAUGAAUAAUAAGUAUUAUUUCAUGUUAAAUGAACAAUCUUGACCUAAUAUAUCAUAUGUGGAUGCAUUUUUAUUUAACUGUUUUAACAGAACAUUUUCCUGCAUCUAAAUAAAUUUGUGAUUAAUGCAAUUUACAGUUUGGAAAAGAGUUUUAAAAUACUAAGAUAGGCAUGUAUUAUUAACUUACCAAACAGAUAUGCAGAUAUUUACCAGUAUUGAAUUGACUGCGAACAAAAUGUUUAAAUAGUAAUGAAUUAACCACAUUGAAUCAAUUUGUAAAUUGACUGAUGGUUAAUUAAGAAUUGAAGUUUUCUUUUUAUAAAUUUAUUAGGGUGUAGAAACGUUGACCGAAGUAUAUUUUGAAUAAAACUCGGAAGCGCCUCAUUCUAAAAGUAAAGGCACAAUCAACGCUUAUACAACCAUAUUAAAUCAUAAACAGAAGCAUUCAAUGCUAAUAAUUACAUUUUAUUGCUAGAAUAGUUCAAACAAAAAAAAUUUGAAGAUUCUUUUAUAUUUACCUGUGCAUUUAAUUCAAAAGCUCGUUUCAUCAUGAAUGGUACUCACAUUUUACAAUGAAUGUUGAUUUCAAAAGGAUGCGAGACUGCUGUUUGCCAAUCAAAAUAAAUGUAUUAUAAUGAAACAUACAUGUAAUGUAUUAUAUCAAAAUGACCAUUUCAGACUAACAUUAAUUCAUUAGUGGCCAUGAUAAAAAAAACUCUUCGAAUUGCCAUUAAAGUAAUAUAUCAAUCUAUAUUAAAAAUGGAACUCUAAACAAAAACACACUUGUUUGCCUGAGACUGAAUAAUUGCUUGAAAAGCCGAAAAAGAUAUACGCUGAAAUGCACCACAUUUAUAGCUGCCACACAAUGCAAAUAACGAAAAUCACACAAGUCAGCUGUCUAUGCAAUAUGAUGAACUCUAUUAUAAUGAUUUCUUCAUUUAUAAAUAAGAAUUCCAUUUUUGUGUUAUCAUUUAAUACUAUCAUGUACUGGGUAGUAAACACAAAAACAAUGAUUAGACUCCCUAGGCAAAGCUGAUAAAACAGUUAUGUGUGAUAACAUAUAAAACGUUUUAGAUAAUGCUUUUGUUUAUGAUACUUGAAGUGCAAUAAGUAUAUUUAGUUUCAAUAUAUGGGCUUAAGUGUUUCACCCUCGUGAUGCAAUAUAAAAUAUGUAUGCUAAUAGACUCUUCGGUAAGCAAGUAAAGUGACCGAACUACUUUCCCAAAAAAAGCAAAAGGUUUAGUUGCACGAAAUUAAUGAAGUGAUUUCUUGAAUGAAACGAGAGGUUGACUCUUUCUUGGAGGUGGGAUAAUCAGACAGGAACAUUCAGUUGGUGUCAGUUUGUUGAUUUGGUUCAAAAGAUAUUUGAUUCCCGUUUUUAAAUAGAUUAUACUUAUGGUUUUUCUCUUUUAACAGUUUUACAAUAAUAAUUUGAGUAACCCUUUAUAGCUUGCUGUUCGGUGUUUACAAAUGACUCUGUGUUGGAGACCGUACUUUUAUAAUGAUAAACUUUUUACAAAUUGUGACUUGAACGGAGAGUUGUCUCAUUGGCACAUCCUUUUAUAUAUGAAUAAUUUAAUUGUGGAUGUUACGCGUCUUCUAAUUGGCUGACAUUAUUUUGUUAUCAGACCAGGGAUGGGGUCGAUUACUUUAAAAUGUAAUCGAUUAAAUUACAAUUACUUUGCAUAUAAAAUGUAAUCGAUUACAUUACAAUUACACCCUAUUUCAUAAGUAAUCGAUUACAUUAGAUUACUUUUCUUGAAAGUAAUCAUGAUUACUUUAGAUUACUUAUGAUUACAUUGUAUAUUGCAAUAUCAAAGUCUUUUUUAUAACUUUUUAUCCUCACAAAAAGCUAAUUUUGGUGAUCUUUUUAAAAGCCUUAAUUUAUUUAUCUUAUUUAAAAGAAUUUAUAGACAAGUACAGUGUAACAUGUGUAACUUCAUAAAAUAGCUAUAGACAAAUGUCCUUUCUCUAUGUAAAAAAAUAACUUUAUUUUUUUCUACAAAUUUUAACCAACUGCCUAAUUAACAAAAAACCUGAACAAAUAAGGAAAAAUUAAUUAAGAAUAGUUGCAUUGUCUGUUGAGACAUAAUUGACACAUCCAUUAAUGUUUUACAGGUGUUAAUCACUACUUCCAUUUUUUUUAACAAACAAUAGGUGAGCUUGGGUAUUAAAAUUUUAUUGUCUUAAUAACAAUAUCAAUAAAGUUAAAAGUGGUUGAUUGUCUUAUUUUUUUGAAAAUUUUUAAUACUUGAUCUAAUUAAUAAUUAAUAGAAUAAUUGUCAGGUGAAAACACAAAACAGCUUUGUAUCUUAGGAAAGUAUAUACAUUUCUCUUUAAAUUAAAAAACAGUUUAUUGUAAUAAAAGAUAUUUUGUAUUGAUGAUACUUCUGACAUCACCUAUUGUUUACUAUGCAUAUUGUUUGUAAUAUUAUGCCAUAUGUAUACACUGUACAUGUACUUGUUUAUACUGAUGAGCCGUAAGGCUCAAAGUUAAUAAAGAAUAAAAAAUAGAAUGCACAUAUUAUACACGAAUUUAUAGACCAAAAUUUAUUCAAUUUGUCAAUAAAUGAAAUCUGGUUUUAACUUCCAUUUUGAAUUAAGUGGGCUCAUAUAUUUAUGUCGACCAUCAAGGUCAAAUUGGAACUAAAUGUUUUCUGCAUUUGAAUUUCAAUGUAUUUAUGUUAAAAUAUUUUGUAAACUUAUAUGAAAUUAGAGUUAAUAUCAGAAGUUUUCAAUCAAGGAAAAAAUGCUUUCAAGGCAUAUUCUUGUAUCAUAAGAGCUCAAUCUCACAACGAAAUAUUGGAGAGCGCUAGUCUGAGGCAAUGUCCUUUAGUAAACAGUUAACAAAAUAAAACACAUGGUUAUACAAAUUUGUUAUGUAGAUGAUACAAUUCAUCACAUUAACAAGGUCCCAUCAUUGUGAAUACUAGUUUCAUGAUUUUUCAUUCAAGCCUUACAUUUCCUAUUUGCAUCCUGUCUAUCAAAAACUAUUAUCACAUAUAUAUAUAUAUAUAAAUUUGUAAUCAGCAAGUAAUUAUGUAAAUGUAAUCUUAAAAUAAUCUAAAAAGUAUCAUGAUUACACCUGUUUUUGGCAAUGUAAUCGAUUACAUUACAAUAACUUGUAAUCAGAAAUGGCAUGAAUACUGAUUACAUAGGAUUACACUGCAAAAUGUAAUCGAGUACAGCUGAUUACGAUUACUGAUUACGAUUACCCAAUGCCUGUAUCAGACCAUAAACAUAAAUUAGUCAUGUGACCGUGACGUCAUCAACGUUUUUUCAUGGUUUUCUACGGUUAUUCAGUGAGCACCAAAUAUUUUAUGUUAUUACUUCAUAGAAAGAAAAAAUAUUACAGUCAUUCCUUAAAUGUACAAGAAAAUACACCACAAUGAUGAUUAUGACCAAGUUUGGUGUAAAUUGAGACGAAAAACGGAUCGAAAAACCUAAGACUAAAUUAUCAACUGUUUAUCAGUUUACCGAGUGUCCUAAUGCACCAUAUAGUGGCAUCAGUAUAUCUGUUAUAUUCCGAUCCCUAAACCAUCUUGAUACUUUUGUAAGGACCUUUUGAUUUUCUGAAAGUAUUUGAUUUGAUGAUACAUUUCUCUACCAAUUUAUUUUUUUCGAAGGGAAUAUUGAAACAAUAAUUGUUUUUAAAUACUUAAAAAAUUAUUCUAAUCGACGCCCUUAUAGUCUGUGGUAUUGGCCGACAUUUUGUCCUUUUUCAUAUAAAACAAUUAAACAAAACGAAUAGAUUUAUUCAUCAAACGGUGAAAAUAUCAAAUAGCACAAGCCCUACAAAAAAUCGAAGAGUAACUAGGUUGACACGAUAUUAUAAGUUAAUAUUGCACCACUUGUGGCACCAGUCGUGUUGGUCAUUCAAUUUAAUUCCUGCCGAUAUUUUUUUCUUUGCGGAUGUCGCAAUUGAGGAUAGGAGGAUGGAAUUGAUAUUGAAAGUGAAAUAUAUCCAUUGUCAUCUGUGAAUUGGAUAUUCUAUAACAUUCAACUCCUGAUAGCGUUUGUCAAGCUUUUGCAAUGCUAUUUUGUAACUCAAUGUUAAAUCAUUCAGGGUUAUAUAUGGUUUAUAUACCAGCUUUGAUAAGUGUUUGGUAAACUUUAAAUUUUCUUUCGUCGAACUAUGAACAUAAAAAUAAAUUAUUUUUUGAAAAUAUUUCUUUCUCCUGUAAGACUGUGUACCCAAUGACAAAAAUAUUUCCAUUUACCUAUGUAUACCAUUAUUGCAAAUGGCCACUUUUGGUUUAAGUUUUUUUUUUUUUUUUCUGAAAUUGGUUAACAUUUCAUAGCUGUAUUGUACUGUUACUUUAAUUAUUUAUUCAGUAUUUUAUUUUAUUGAUUUUGUAUUUUCAUUGUAUCAUAGAUCAACUAUAUUCGUUCAGAGUUUUUUCAUUAGUAUUAAUAUGUCUUUUGAUUGAGUUGACGAAUUUUAAUUGAUAUUUUAUAGUGUGUCUUUUUAUAUUUUAAUGUUACACUAUUGUUUUAGAUAUGGUUGAAUGUUCGGUUCCAUUAAAAAAGUUUGAAGCCGCUUCAAUUGUUUGCACCUGUCCUAAAUCAGGAAUCUAAUAUUUAGUUGUUUUCGUUUGUUGAUGUGGUUGUGAAGAGUUUCUCGUAUCUAGGUUUUUACAUAUAAGAAUGUUUGUAUUUGAAUGGUUUUACACUAGUAAAAAAGGGGCCCUUUAUAUCUUGCUGUGCUCAACGAUCAAAUGCUCUGUGUUGGAGACCGUCCUUUGACCUAUAAUGGUUUUACUUUUGUUUAUUGAAACUUGGACGGAGAGUUGUCUUAUUGGUACUCAUUUCACAUGUUCUUAUAUUUAUAUGAUACAGUUAUAAAUACAUAUUGCAAUAUCCAAAAUCAAGUAUGUGCUUUUUUUAUUAAAACUAACAUGAUGUUUUAAAAAUAUUCGCUUCAAAAUAACAAGCUUUUAAAAAGACUGUUAUCACUUGAUGGUAUGUAACUAAGGGACGACAUCAAAAAUUCAAUGUAGGAUAAAAUGUUAAUUCAUAUAGUUUUUUCACUGACCCCUCCCCACGCCUUCUUAACUUUAUUUGGGAAAAAAUUAUUGACCAAUAAGGAUAUAUAUAAAAAUAUGAUGUCAAUUUAACAAACUUGCAGCAAUUUCCCCCCCCUCCCCCCAAACUAUUUGAAUUAAGUAUUUUAUCCUUCAUUGAUUUGUUGAUGUUGUCCCUAAAGUAACGAAAAAAACCUGAAAAAAAUGAAGGGUUCGUGUGCUUGUUUUUGAAAUAUAAACCAUAAAAACACAAAUAACAAGGAUUUUACAAGGUUUUUUUUAAAUAUGUCUCUAUGGUACACUAUAGUGAAAAGAAAACUUAGAAUUGCCGAAAUUUUGAAUGACGAAAUUGAUUCACCAUGGCUUAAAAAAAAGACAAACAGAAAUAUAAUAGAACACAACACACUGCAGGGAAAACUAGAUUAAGCAACACAAAACCCACCAAAAACUGGGUGUGAGCUCAGGUGCUCCGGAAAGCCAUGAACUCAACAGUUUUCAACAAUAAAAAAGUGUAUAUAUAUAUAUGUAACAUAGCUCAACAUGCAGACUUUUUAUACGUUCAUGUAUUUCACAUCCAAUUUUUUAAGGAAACAUUCUUUAUAAAGCAAAAAAAUGUCAGUAUUUACCUCUGAAAGAAAUAAAAUUUUUAAAUAAACUUAUUACGAAGGGAUAUAGUAACGAUACUGUUGGCAGGUCAUUAAAGAUUGCAUAUUUUGGCGUUAAUAUUGAUUCACUUAUAGGGUCUUUGCAUCGGAACUAAACACCUUUAUUAUAAAAACAGUUGUUGGCAUGGCACGGGUUAUACAAAAAAGAAGAUGUGGUAUGAUUACCAAUGAGACAACUAUCCACAAAAGACCAAAAUGACACAAACAUUAACAAUUAUAGGUCACCAUACGGCCUUCAACAAUGAUCAAAGCCCAUACCGCAUAUAGUCAGCCCCGAUAAGACAAUGUAAAACAAUUCAAACGAGAAAACUAACGGCCUUAUUAUAUUCUUCUCAUAUAUGUUAUAAUGGUAUAAUACUUAACCACUGACGGGAAGGAUUGUGCCUGAUAUUCAUAUGAUGAAAUCAUUAUCUUUUAAUCAGUUUAAUUGAGGUCUGGAUCUGGCAUAUCAGUUAACUGUUGUUAUUUAUGUAACAUUUUCAUUUUGUUUACUUUCUUUGGUUACAUCUUCUGACAUCAGACUCGGACUUCUCUUGAACUGUAUUUUAAUGUGCGUAUUGUUAUGCGUUUACUUUUCUACAUUGGCUAGAGGUAAAGGGGAAGGGUUGAGAUCUCAUAAAAAUGAUUAACCCCGCCGCAUUUUUACGCCAGUCCCAGGUUAGGAGCCUCUAGACUUUGUUAGUCUAUUAUUAUUUAAAUUUGAGUUUCUUGUGUACAAUUUGGAAAAAAGUAUGGCGUUCAUUAUCACUGAACUAGUAAAUAUUUGUUUAUGCGCCAGCUGAAGGACGCCUCCGGGUGCAGGAAUUUCUCGCUACAUUUAAGACCUGUUCGUGACCUUCUGCUGUUGUUUUUCUAUGGUCGGGUUGUUAUCUCUUUGACACAUUCCCAAUGUCCAUUCUCAAUUUUAAUAGUCAAUCUGGAUAUACAGGGAUAAUCUAUGAAUUACAUGUCUCGUGUAGUAUACAAAGAACUAAUUGUAAAAUGCUCUAGGGUUUGACCAUUAAUUUUAAAAUUGAAAUUUACUUACAAGAUGCAUUUAAGAUAAUAGUAGUAAGCAGAUGUUUUACCUCCAAUUAUCCUUUUUGUAAAAUUUUAUUCGGUUUAGAAGUACGAAUUAUGUCUACAAAUAUAUGGUAUAAAUCGUAGUGUUGUCAUUUAAGCGAAAUAUAUUUUUUAAACAUCUCAAAAAGCGGGAAGUUUUGCUAGCCAUUAAACCAAGGGCUCAACCCACUAUUUCUUUAAAUGUCCUGUACCAAGUCAGGAAUAUGGCAGAUGGAAUUUAAUAGUUGGUGUAUAUAAAUAUAGGACUUCGAUGUUCAUGUUGUUUCUUUGUUUUCCUCUAAUACAUGUAGUUGAUGUAUUUCCCUCUGUUUUGGCUUUUAACCCGAAUUUGUUUUCUCUCAAUUGCUUUGUUACUUUUGAAAAUCGGUGUACUACUGGUAUAUAUAUGUCUCAGGCCGAAAUCGACAUCACUAACACGAUAACAAUGUUAUAUUUGUUAUUCUCGUGGGAUUUUUUCUGAUGCUUGGUCUGUUUCUGUGUGUGUUUCAUUUCAAUGUUGUGUCGUUGUUCUCCUCUUAUAUUUAAUGCGUUUUCCUCGGUUUUAGUUUGUUACCCCGAUUUUGUUUUUUGUCCAUGGAUUUAUGAGUUUUGAACAGCGGUAUACUACUGUUGCCUUUAUUACUCAUAGUUGAAAGCUGUACGGUGACCUAAAGUUGAUAAUUUAUGUGUCAUUUUUGUCUCUUGUGGAGAGUUGUCUCAUUUCGAAUUAUACAACAUCUUCUUUUUCAUAUUUUCUCAGAAUUAUCAAAAUAACGUAUUGAAUAAAACAUCUGACACUCUUCCAUUUGUAUAUAGAGUAAUUACUUUUUAUAUACGUAAAGCUAAGUUCAUUGUCGGAAGAUUCGUUUUCUUGACCAAAUGUCAGUUUGGUUUAAGUGUUGCAAAUAUAGCGAAAAAUACAUUACAAGUAUCUCCGUAAUCUACGUAGCAAAAUGUUAAUACGCAAGGGCGCAACGUUGAAACCGUUACUUACAAUGAGAUUAACUUUCCCGCAGAAUAUUUUUCGAAUGUGAAAUGCAAAUUUACUUAAAUAACAUAAUUGGAAGAUUUUUGUUAUUAAUUUACUAACAAUUAGCAAACUAUGAUAUCCAAUUCAACAACCAUUUACAUAAUUUGAUAUUAUAGAAGAAAGUAAAAUCACAAAAUAAAACUGAACUCCGAUUAUAACUUUAAUCGGAAAGUCGCUUAUCAAAUUGCAAAAUCAAAAGAAAAAACACAUCAAACGAAUAUUCCUUUCAUGUAUCUAUAGCACUUAGACUGACUUUCAUACAUUCAAUUUAGUUUACAUAUUUGUUAGGUGAUUGAUCGUUAGCAAAUUACUAAUUUGAAUUGCUAAUUUUCACAAACAAAGACAUUAUAAGCAUAAUGUAAAAAUUUAAGUGAUCAUAUUUUGUUAAAUCUGUGACGUCCUAAAUAGUGAUAUUGGACAAACGACAACAAAAGGCCGCACUAAAAUAAUUUUACGAUAACAAAAAAAAAAAAGAAAUAUGAAGAUUUCUUUGGAAUGACUUGCGAGUAUCUGAUAUCACUUGCCACAAAAAACAGAUGAUCAUUUGGGAUAUAAAAAAUCGGGUUAAUAUCAAAUGAUAACUUAUUUUCUUUCGGUUGAGAACAAAAAUGUUUAUUAUUUCAUUUGAUAUCAUACCUUGUCCUAGCUUGAUAUGUCAACCAAAAAUGUCAAACAUCAUGAAAAUAAAUUAAAUGUUACUCUGCAUUUUUAUUUUAGGUAUAAAAUGGGAGCGAUGGUAUUGAAAAUGCGACACUUUAAUCAAAUGAGCUUAUCAAAGACAGGUGUGUAUUUUUAAGCUCCAAACUAUGAGUAUGUCCAUCAUUUAAUUCUUUUAUGUUUGAAUUUUGUUACGGUCAUAUAUAUCAACACUAAUGUAACGAUGAAAAAAAAGCAAUUCCAAUAUAUUUAUGUUUUAUUUUGCUAGCACGUUUUGUUAUUUUUAAUUGGCACAACAAUAUGUUUAAUAAAGAACGGAAUUUCUGUGGAUAGCUCCAUUUUUAUUUAAACAAACGCCUACAAAUGUAAUAUCAAUGUUUUAAUCAUGAAACAACUUCUCCAAAACCAUAAACAAAACAAAAUUGAACAUCGUCGAAGUUCUCUACGUAACCUCUUUCUAAUACUUUCUAAAUUAUUAAAAUUAAUAUUAUCAGCAAUAAUUGCCGUGCUUCAAAGUUAUUGUGAAACUGCAUUUUCUAGAGGUGACGUUAAUAAGAUGUAUUUACUAACAAAUAAAAUAUCUCACAUAAAAUCUAAGACUAUUUUAUUGUGCAAUAAUAUUAACAGAAUUUAAUUUUCUACACUUUACACAAGUAUUCACUAAAAAGUUAAAAUGGUGGUCCUGCUUUGUUUCAUCACAAAGAAAUGACAAAGACAGAUAUCUUGGUUUAUUCUCAUAGGAUUGUUUAGUCCUUUUCUGUGUGUGUUACAUUUUAAUGUUGUGUCGUUGUUCUCCUCUUAUAUUUAAUGCGUUUCCCUCAAUUUUAGUUUGUUACCCCGAUUUUGUUUUUUUUCCAUGGAUUAAUGAGUUUUGAACAGCGGUAUACUACUGUUGCCUUUAUUGUGAGAGGGAUGAAUUAUAAUUUGUAAAGACUUACUCUGAUUGUAACAAAAACAAAUCUGGAACUGACAUUAUCUGGAUCUUUGAUUUUUUUAUUACUUUUUGUAAAGUGUGAAGGUCGUGUUAUUUAACAAAUAAUCAGCAUUCCCAUUGGAAUCAGCUUUACUCACGUUUUUACAGUGUUUAUGUAUCUCAACAUGUUCGAUUCGCUCGAGUAUAUUACAACUGAUUUGAUUUUAGCGUAAGAAACUUCUGUUUUACUGAAAAAUUAUUAUACCAGAGUUUUCGAUAUUAAAAACUAGUCACAACAUUUACUAAUUGUUGACAUCGUACAAAGACAUUUUUCGUAAAUAUAAAAUAAUAUGCAGACAUCUAAUAAGUUCAUGUAUAUCACAUAGAUUCUUUUAUGGCAAUUUUCGUUACAAAGUACACAAAUAUAGAAGGGAUAUUUUAAAUGGAAUAUUUUGGUAUUAAUAUUGAUUCAAUCUUAAAAAGUGUUUGUACCGAAAAUAAACACAUUAAUGGUAGAAAAAUCAUGAUCAGCAUGUUACAGGUUAUGUUGUUCACAUAUAUUUUAUCAUGGUAUGAUAUCAAAUCACUAACGGCAGGGAUUGUACUUGAUUUUCAUAUGAUGAAGCAAUAAUCUAUCAAUCAGUUUCAUUGAGGUCUGGAGCUAGCAUGUCAGUAACUGCUAGUAGUCUCUUGGUAAUUUUAUGUAUCAUUGUCAUUUUAAUUAGUUUAUUUUGUUACCUAUUCUGACCUCGGACUCGGACUUCUUUUAAACUUAGGUUUUCUGUUCUUAUUGCUUGUAUUUAUCUAUUCUACAUUGACCUGAGGUUUAGUGGUAGGGUUGAGAUAUCACAAAACAUGGUUAACACCCUCUUUUUUUUACGCCUGAUCAAAGAUAGGUGCUUCUGGCUUUUGUUAGUUUUGUAAAUGUGUUUUUAUUUUUAUUUUAGUUCAUUGUAUGUUUUGGAGUUAGUAUUACGUUCACUUUAACUGAACAGUACACAUUUUUUUCCAUUUAGGGCGGUGUUUUCACGCUGCGAUGAAAACAAAUUGGGGGACUUCGAUUGUUAUCUGCGAUUGUUGUGUCUGGACAUAUCCCCAUUUUUAUUUUCAAUUUUAUAACCAUAAUUGUGAUUUAUUUGCGAGCGGGAUCGAAAUUCUGUUUUAAUCCCAUUUAGGAUGAUAUAGUUCUUGGUAAUGUUUAACUAAAAACAAAUAACAUGUUGACUUUGUUUAGUUUCAGAAGAAAUUAGGCCUUUCAAAAAGACAUACUCGGUAGUUCAGUAUGUCAGUACAGUCAUUGGCGCUUGUAUGGUUACGGGCAUAUAUAUGAUGACAAUUUGUAAAGAGUUCAAUCGACGGCCAUCAAAGGCACAAAACAUUCGCAAACUGGAAAGGUAUAACAUCGCAGUACACGGCCAAUAAGUUAGGAUCCCAGCAUGGAAGUAAAGUCCAUAUUUUAACAACGUAGUAAUGUAAAGGUUAAGGUAAUUGAGAUAUACAGAGUUAAAUUUCUUUGGAAAAAGAAAUCAAGUAACAGUUUUGUUUUCUAUUUAUAAUUUGAAGUAUUGAAUCUGUUAUAGAUAAUACAUAUUUCAAGGUUCUUCGUUAGCUAAAAAAACCGAGGGAUUUUCUGGAUUUGUUAAAUAAAAGAAAAACCUUUAAAUGUUCAUUAUCUGACUUAUAUACCGUCAAUAAAUACUAUUUUCUAUAAAGGAUUGCACUAUUAUUUACAUCCAAUUUUUGUGAUGUUUUCAUGAUUUGAUAUGGUCUACGACUCAUUUAUCAUUUAUGAUCAAGGUCACUUACCAAACUAAAAUAUAGAAGUUAUAAAUCAUUUUUCAGGUUGAAAAGAAAUAUUACUAUACAUUAACUGCAUGAAUCAAGACACAAAUGAAACACUUUUUAAGAAAUGUUUUGUAUCAACUUAAGUUAUGAAAGAUGCAUGUUUUUUGUUUCUUUUCCUGACAUUUUUAUCGGGGAAAAGCAGAUUUUUUUUCAACAAGAUUGUUAACGAAAAAUUCAGAUUAAUUGUUUCUCUCUCUUGUCUGGCAAUACAAUUUUGUCUAUAUAUAUAACUCAGAAUUAAGUUACAUUCCCACCUUAAUUUAAAGUACGUGGCUGUUCUACUAUAUAAAAUAAGAAUAUUGGAUCAUAAGAUAAUUAAUUUGAGUAAAAGGUAUUAACACAUUUAAUAAAAAAUAAAACUGGCACGAAGAGAGUAAAAUUUGGAAUACAUGUGUAGUAACAACGAAAAACGAUUAUCCAUAGGUCAAAGUAGGAUUCUAACAUUAUUUUUUGUGGAACUUAAAAUGUCCGUCAACGAUGAUGAUUGGUAUUUCAGUCAAUUACUCGAAUUCAAUGAUUGUUUCUGCCAAAUAUCAAAAUCCCUAUCGAAGUUGGUCGAUGAAAAAAUACACCAAGAGAAAAUCGUAUAAUUAUGCUGCUACUGCGAUUCAAAUACCAUUAGUGACGAAUAUCAUUAUUUUUUUGUAUGUUCCAAUAAACAAAUUGUGUUUUAAAGAGAAAGGUAUAUUCCUACAUAUUACAUAAAAAUUCCUUCCCAAUUGAAAUGUAUCGGUCUAUUAUCACACUGUAACGUGCCAGUGCAAACAAAAGUGUGCAUCUUUCUAAGACAUAUGGAAAAAAAUCAUAAU